RNAcentral lists this ribosomal RNA (369 nucleotides) under uncultured organism. RNAcentral's name for it is "partial 16S ribosomal RNA". It matches the Rfam family "Bacterial small subunit ribosomal RNA", at positions 527 to 896 of the family's 1533-position model. The record is from RNAcentral.
GUACUGUGCAAACGUUAUUCGGAAUCACUGGGCUUAAAGGGUGCGUAGGCGGUGAUUUAAGUAGGGUGUGAAAUCCCUCGGCUCAACCGAGGAACUGCGCUCUAAACUGAAUCACUUGAGUAAGAUAGGGGUGUGCGGAACUUCCGGUGGAGCGGUGAAAUGUGUUGAUAUCGGAAGGAACGCCAGUAGCGAAAGCGGCACACUGGGUCUUAACUGACGCUGAGGCACGAAAGCCAGGGUAGCGAACGGGAUUAGAUGCCCCGGUAGUCCUGGCUGUAAACGAUGAGCACUAGUUGGAAGGCGCUUACGCAUUUUCCAACGUAGCAAACGUAUUAAGUGCUCCGCCUGGGGAGUAUGGUCGCAAGGCUG